GUUGUAUGGUUAAGUGACUAAGCGUAUGUGGUGGAUGCCUUGGCAGUUAGAGGCGAUGAAGGACGUGUUAAUCUGCGAAAAGCUUUGGUGA
RNAcentral lists this ribosomal RNA (91 nucleotides) under Colwellia sp. MB3u-4. RNAcentral's name for it is "partial 23S ribosomal RNA". It matches the Rfam family "Bacterial large subunit ribosomal RNA", at positions 1 to 84 of the family's 2925-position model. Lineage: Bacteria; Pseudomonadati; Pseudomonadota; Gammaproteobacteria; Alteromonadales; Colwelliaceae. The record is from RNAcentral.